RNAcentral lists this ribosomal RNA (595 nucleotides) under uncultured bacterium. RNAcentral describes it as "bacterial SSU rRNA". It matches the Rfam family "Bacterial small subunit ribosomal RNA", at positions 338 to 949 of the family's 1533-position model. The record is from RNAcentral.
CCUACGGGAGGCAGCAGUGGGGAAUCUUGCGCAAUGGGCGAAAGCCUGACGCAGCCACGCCGCGUGCGGGAUGAAGGCCCUAGGGUUGUAAACCGCUUUUAACAGGAACGAAAAUGACGGUACCUGUAGAAUAAGGUGCGGCCAACUACGUGCCAGCAGCCGCGGUGACACGUAGGCACCAAGCGUUGUCCGGAUUUAUUGGGCGUAAAGAGCUCGUAGGCGGUUCAGUAAGUCGGGUGUGAAAACUCUGGGCUUAACCCAGAGACGCCACUCGAUACUAUUGUGACUAGAGUUCGGUAGGGGAGCGGGGAAUUCCUAGUGUAGCGGUGAAAUGCGCAGAUAUUAGGAGGAACACCGGUGGCGAAGGCGCCGCUCUGGGCCGAUACUGACGCUGAGGAGCGAAAGCGUGGGUAGCAAACAGGAUUAGAUACCCUGGUAGUCCACGCCGUAAACGGUGGGCACUAGGUGUGGGUUCCAACCAACGGAAUCCGCGCCGUCGCUAACGCAUUAAGUGCCCCGCCUGGGGAGUACGGCCGCAGGUUAAAACUCAAAUGAAUUGACGGCUGAGACGNGCGAGCGACGACGAGGGAGUUAG